RNAcentral lists this ribosomal RNA (664 nucleotides) under uncultured bacterium. Its description in RNAcentral is "bacterial SSU rRNA". It matches the Rfam family "Bacterial small subunit ribosomal RNA", at positions 99 to 798 of the family's 1533-position model. The record is from RNAcentral.
CGGACGGGUGAGUAACGCGUGAGAAUCUGCCCUUAGGAGGAGGAUAACAGCUGGAAACGGUUGCUAAUACUCCAUAUGCCGAGAGGUGAAAGGAUUUAUCUACCUAAGGAGGAGCUCGCGUCUGAUUAGCUAGUUGGUAGGGUAAUGGCCUACCAAGGCGACGAUCAGUAGCUGGUUUGAGAGGAUGAUCAGCCACACUGGGACUGAGACACGGCCCAGACUCCUACGGGAGGCAGCAGUAGGGAAUUUUCCGCAAUGGGCGAAAGCCUGACGGAGCAAUACCGCGUGAGGGAUGACGGCCUGUGGGUUGUAAACCUCUUUUCUCAAGGAAGAAGUUCUGACGGUACUUGAGGAAUAAGCAUCGGCUAACUCUGUGCCAGCAGCCGCGGUAAUACAGAGGAUGCAAGCGUUAUCCGGAAUCACUGGGCAUAAAGCGUCUGUAGGUGGUUUGGUAAGUCUGCUGUUAAAGACUGGGGCUCAACCCCAGAAAAGCAGUGGAAACUGCUAGACUUGAGUGUGGUAGAGGUAGAGGGAAUUCCUAGUGUAGCGGUGAAAUGCGUAGAUAUUAGGAAGAACACCAAUGGCGAAGGCACUCUACUGGACCAUAACUGACACUGAGAGACGACAGCUAGGGGAGCAAAUGGGAUUAGAUACCCCAGCCUGA